This 520-nucleotide ribosomal RNA is filed under the name uncultured Glomus. RNAcentral's name for it is "SSU rRNA". It matches the Rfam family "Eukaryotic small subunit ribosomal RNA", at positions 569 to 1092 of the family's 1831-position model. Lineage: Eukaryota; Fungi; Glomeromycota; Glomeromycetes; Glomerales; Glomeraceae. The record is from RNAcentral.
AGCAGCCGCGGUAAUUCCAGCUCCAAUAGCGUAUAUUAAAGUUGUUGCAGUUAAAAAGCUCGUAGUUGAAUUUCGGGAUCAAUAUAUCGGUCGUGCCUUGGUACGUACUGGUAUCAUUGGUUUCUCCUUUCUGACGAACCAUGAUGUCAUUAAUUUGGUGUUAUGGGAAGUUAGGACUGUUACUUUGAAAAAUUAGAGUGUUUAAAGCAGGCUUUGGCUUGAAUACAUUAGCAUGGAAUAAUGAAAUAGGACGUUCGAACCUAUUUUGUUGGUUUCUAGGAUCAACGUAAUGAUUAAUAGGGAUAGUUGGGGGCAUUAGUAUUCAAUUGUCAGAGGUGAAAUUCUUGGAUUUAUUGAAGACUAACUACUGCGAAAGCAUUUGCCAAGGAUGUUUUCAUUAAUCAAGAACGAAAGUUAGGGGAUCGAAGACGAUCAGAUACCGUCGUAGUCUUAACCAUAAACUAUGCCGACUAGGGAUCGGAUGAUGUUAAUUUUUAAUGUACUCAUUCGGCGCCUUACG